Zingiber officinale is the source of this 10688-nucleotide long non-coding RNA. RefSeq lists it as uncharacterized. The record is from RefSeq and is a predicted model, not a curated record. Lineage: Eukaryota; Viridiplantae; Streptophyta; Magnoliopsida; Zingiberales; Zingiberaceae. The transcript has 3 exons.
UCCCUUCUGUGUUCGCGAAUCUUCCUCGCGGGCUAGGGUUUGCAACAUAUCCACACCGUCGGCGCCUCUCUCCUUCCUUCUCUCCGACCGGCGGCCUCUAUUCCUUCGCUUUCACUGCCUCCGGCCGGCCAACCACAGUCCACCUCUUCUUCUCGAUUCUAAUCAGCGACGGUAGCAGCAAGUGGCGGCAACAGCGAGCUUCGGCAGCGAUUCCGGUCAUCCACCUCACCGGAGGGGUUCUCCGGUGUGUCCUCCACCUUCCCGCAUCCUUCAGACCUUUCCUCUCCUUCUGGGGUUCGGACGGACAGGGGACGAAGAGGGUGGCGGCAGUCCAUCACCAUUUCCAGCGGCCACCACCAUUUCCAGCCACUUCCAGCGGAGGGUCUCUGUUGGAAGAUCCGUAUCAUCCCAUUGUUGUCGAAGCGUGCAACAUUCUGGCAGCGAGCCACUGUCCACCGGUUUUGGGGGUUCCGAAGCCGGGUCUUCGUGUGACGACGAGGAUAGUUGUUGGCAUCAAGGGAUCUUGCAUUUGGAUCUAUUCGAACCGAAUUUGUGCUCGAAUUGGAGUUUAAACGAGAAGAUCAAGCUGUGGAGCAUUAUGGACCAUUCAUCAAAGAUUGGACAGAUCUGAACCAUCCAUUGAAGAUCUGGUCCAUCCGACCUAAGGGAGAGUAUAUCUAGAUCCUUGAUCAAGAUCAAUACAUUCGGAUCGGAUUUUAGGCGAUCUUUCACCGUUGAUUGAGCUCCGAAGCAUCACAGCCGUCCAUUCAGAUCUCAGAUCUGAUUUAAACGGAGAAGCUACAGUAGCUUCCUCGUCGAUCUCCUCCACACUGUGCUUCGCGUCCCGUGGUGCAUCUUGGCGAUUUCCGACCCCGAUUUCCAUCUCUGAUCAUCUUCUCAGGCGACGUCUUUAGUGGAGAGCUUCAAGGCAACUGAAUCCAAAUCAUCUGGAGCCAUCGGCGGGCAUUCCCUCCGGCGUAAUUAUGCUUUCGACGAUCCUCUGUUCUCCUCAAAUUUGGCGGCGUUCUUCCAAUCUGUGGUGUCCCUUUCCAUCAGCAACACUCGGCGGCGUUCCUUUGAUGUUCCUGAGCUUCAUCCGACGAUCAUUUAUCAUCCGUAGCUUCCAUUUCAGAUUCAGAGGUGAAGGUUUGCAGAUUUCUAGAUUUUCAGCCAUAUCAUAUGUUUUGAGUUGUUUCCAGCUUGCCGGAGGCGUUCCGCCGGUGUUGCUGAGCAAUCUUGGAACUGAGACGCAGUUGAGAUUUUUACUGAUGACCGGAGUUGGGCGUUCUCGUCUCCGACCUCUUGUGUGACGACAAGAGUGUGAAGUUUGUUUAGAUUGAUUGUGAGAUUGGAACGGUUAUCAUUUUAUUUCAUUUUAUUACUGUUUUAGAAGUUAGAACAGAUUUCUUUGAUGUUUGUUAUGUUUUUAGCAAGUAAUAUAGCAUUUCAUUACCUUGUUGAAGCUUAAUUGGUGUUUAAGUUUUAUUUGAGCAUGGUUAAUUGUUAAGUGAUUAAGUUAGGGUUUAAAUUUUGCUUUAGAUCAGAUUUAAUUGUGCCUUGUUAUUUCUUUCUUAGUUUAAGUGUGUUAAUGAUUUAAUCACAACGUAGGGUGACAAUACGUUAGGGUUUGAUUAUUGGCCACAUAGGUAGAUUUCAUUUAUGUACUAGAUAAGUUUCUUAUUUGCUUUCUUUUCAAUUAUUAGAUUUAGAUUCAGAAUUCAAACCCCAAUUUCAUAUUAAAAACCCCAAAAAUAGGAACAACAUACGAUCCUAAGAUUACCAUUCUACUGUUAGUUCCUCGAGAGAUUCAAUCCUGGGCUCGUUAUUACAACAUCAUUGUGUAGUUAAGGGGUUCAUGAAUAUACAUUGUUAAUUUGAUUUGCGGGUGUGACAGACUCGCUCAUCAAAUUUUGGCGCUGUUGCCGGGGAAAUAUACAGUGUUUGGUGAUCUUAGGAUUGUUUUACUAUUUUGAUUGGUGCCUAGACACUUAUUUGUUUGAUAUAUCCAUGUGUUCGGUAUUUUGAUCUUUCUGUGUCUGGUGAUUUUGUUUGUUUCAUUGUUUCAGGUGAGACCAGGAUAUGUAUACAGUAACCGUGGAUCCAUUUGAGGCUUUGUUGAUGGAGAGAGCUGAACUUGACGAUAAUGAUAACAUGAGGAAGGCGCUCAUUUCCAUUAGGUCUAUUCCACUUCCGCGUUAGCUCCUAUUACUGAACCGUAUUCACCCACCAGAAAUUCAGGGGAGUUUGAUUCAUUCCACCUUUUAUUGGUCAUUGUAGAUAUCAUUCCUUUACUUUGAUGCAUGAAUAAUAUCUUGGUUUACUUUGGCAAUCUUGUUGGUUUUUGAGCAAUUUUGUUGGGUUUGUAAAUAGUUUUUUUGGUUUUCGAAAAUAAAAUGUACCCCUUACAUUUCUUUAUAUCAUUUUAGAGAUUUUUGAAAACUAGUUAAAUUUAAUUGUUAAGUUUUGGAAUUCAUUGUCAUGAUUGGAUUCUUUGAUUACAUGAGGUUGUUACUCAGUGAUGGAUUCUUGAUUGAUUAAUUGAGAUGAUAAUUUGAAUACCUAGUGAGGAUUAAGCUUAAUUUGUGUUAUGCGCUUGUGUGAUUGUUAUUUCUAGAACUUGUUUUGAUUCUUUUAAAACAACAAUACCAUACAUUGAAUCAUUCUUAUGAAGGUUAAUCUAAUUCUCUAAUCUUCCACACAAUUUCUUGCUUGUUUUUCUUUUGAAUCAUCAUAUCAUUUUAUCUUUUCUCAUUUCUUAAUCUCUUGGAUAUGGAUACUUUGUUUGUUAUAUGAUGAAUUAUUUGAUCAAGAUGGAUAAAGUUGAAGUGUGGGGGGAUAGUGGAAUAUGUUCAGAGCUUAACAUGUUUUUAUUGGAUGAAAUCUAUUUUAAGCUAUGAAAUUACUGUUUUGUACCAAGUAUUUUCACAAUUUUUGGUGGAUUGUUUCUAGUCAAGUCAAGAUCAAGUGAUUAUGCCUGAGACCUUGCUAAUGGAAGUGUUACAGCAGUUCAUGUUUUAAAGCUGCAAACAAGUAAUGAGUUCAUAAUAAGUUCCAUAUGCAGAAGUUCCUGAUGCUUGAAUGAAAAUCUAGGCUAAAGUCUUGAUGAUUUAAUCUGAAAUUUCCUUGAAUUCCAAAUUCUGAAACUGAUGUUGAAAGAGAAUCAGAAUUAAGAAGUAAUACUCGUUUGAUAUUUGAAUUCAUGGAUUGCAGAGUUUACUACUGCUAAGAGGUUUCUUAGUUAAUGUUGAGAGUAUCACUGAGGAUGUGAAAGGAGUACCAAGUAUAGAACUUAUAUCUGAAUGGAGUUGGAAAUUUUGAUUUCUGGAAAAGGAAAAAAAAACUGUACUAACACAAAAGAGCAGAACUUAUUUUCAUGCUAAUUGCUGGUGAUGUUUCUGUUCAGUAUUGUUUUGAAAGGAGUAAGCUUCCAGAAAGUUGUAACAAGCUGCAAGUGAGAUGGUUCCAUUGAAUUUAGGAGUUGAAUCAGCAGAAAACAGAGUUGAGCCGAAGCUACUUUAAAUUCUCAAUUAUGAAGACUAAGCCUUAAUUCUGUAAUGCAGGGCUGAUUACUGAAAUUGAAAUGCAGAAGUUGGUCAAAUCUUAACAACUCCUGCAUGUGAGUAACAAGAAGUCAUCUCUAAACAGCAUGCAAGAAGUAAGAAAAAAUCACUGAGUUUUAUUUCAAUGGAAGAACUGGGUUGAGCAAGAGUGAAAUUAGCUCAACUGUUCUUGGGGAAUACAAUCUAGUUAAAGUAGUGCUAUAUUCAUACUAGAGCUGAGUUCAUGGGAGAAGAAUUCAGCAAUUGAAGAUUAAAGGUUUCAUUAUGGUGACAGAAUUUAAUAGCAGAUUUAGUUUUCAUAUCUGAUUUUUUAGUGUUGUUGUGCAACCAUGGAUGUUACAAAAGCUUCAUUGCCACAAGCAGUAGUUAGGCCAUCUUAUUAAGCCAGAUCUUGAUCAGUUAACGAAUUUGCAUAGAAGAUUAAAUGUGGACUGUUGUGUGCCAAUAUGAUCUGCAUAUUUCUGUGAAUGUAGUUUCUGAUCAGUACAGUCCUGUAUUUGUAUUCUAAGUAAUUGGGUACUAAAUGAUGUUAAUGCCUGGGAUUGAAUUGUCCAAAGUUACAGCUAGGUGCUAUGCCAGUUCUCGAAUACUGAUUUCAAAUCUGAAGUACUUACCAAGUGGAAUUCACCUAUUCAUUGACAGAUGUUAAAAUGUUCAACUUUGAGUUAUUGCUGAUAGCUUAACUCUUCAUGAUUCAGACCUGAAAUUUCCAUAAAUCUGAAAUUAUGAAACUGAAGUUGAAAUAUGAAAAAGAAUUUGGGAAAUCUGCCCAAUUCAGUUUAGGAAACCAAUGCUGGUUAAUUCCUUGCCUGCCCAAUUUAGUGAUGAAAUUUAGAAAUGCAAAGCUGAAUCUGUUUAGAGAUCAAAGCUGUUCAGAUUCAAAUAAAAGGAAUGGAAAUCAAGCUAUUAUCGAUUAAAUGUUAAUUGUGAUUCCCUAAAAAAAUUAUGAAGUUCUACAAGAAUGAGAAGUCAUGGAAUGGAUUUUUGAAUUCUGUACCAAGAAGAGUUUGGAGCUACAUUGUGUUACAAAUUUUAUUUCUUCUUCAGUCAUUCAAAGAUGAGUUCAAUCUUUACAGUAACUCAAAGUUCCUGAAAUAGACGGCAUUCAAAAAUUCAAUUCUAGAGAUGCUGGAUUUUUGUUCAGCAGAAUAUACAAGUCAUUUUGGUUGAAAAUCUGGACAGCAUAUAGUGUAAUUUAGUUCUUACAAGUUCGAUGAAUCUGAAUUGCAAUGGUGAACUUAUUAACUUCAUGUGGUGAUAUGUCAAGUAGAGGAAAUUCAUGCCAAGUUGCUGAUUUUUGUGCCAAGUGUUGACACUGUUUUUGAGUUACUGUGGUUUUGAAUAUGGGGAUUUUUGUACAGGAAAUUCAGAGUGUAACCCCACUCAAACCAUUGGAGAACAUGUGUAGAAGGGAAGAUACAUAUGUUGUGAGUUCAUGGAGGUUUCCACUUGAUUGAUGCCCAAUUCAUUGAUCCCUGAAUUGAAGCUAGUAUUAUUCUGAAUUAUGAUGCUAUUGAGGUAAAGGAAAUGCUAAUCUGAUAGCUUGGCAAAUUGAGGAUGCUUGGACAUGAGCUAGUGUUGUUGCUGGAUCAGAGAAUGGAAUGCAAGUGAUAACAACUAAUAUGAAUUUUGGACAGAAAAGAAACUAUGCUUACAGAUUUGGCCAAGAUAGAUUGAGUGCCAAAUGUUCAUGUUCUUUCUAAUCAGCAACAAUAUGAAUUUUAACUUCUACCAAUUCAGUGACAAAUGCAACUUUCUUUCAAGUUGAGUCCUGGAUGAUUCGAGCUGGAAUUGCAUCAACUUUUGAAUCCUGAAACUUAAGUCUAAGAGUCUGUGAAAUUGAAAAAAAAAUGAUGAAAUUGAUUAGAGCAAUUUGAGUUCAAAUUCUGAGCUAAAUUACAUUGAAUUCCAGAGUAUGAAACUUUCUAAUCUCUAAAAUGAAAUAUGGAAUCCGGAAUUCAGAAUUCAAUUUCUAGAUUUCUUCUUGGUUCUUGUAUUUCUGCACUUGAAUUAUAAUCUCUGAAAUGCAGUUUGUCACUCCAACUUUUGGGGAAUCAGAAUACUCAUCUUCAAUGGGUCCUAUACAAGUUCAAGGGAUGAUACAAGAAGUCAAGAUAGCUGUCACAAAAGUGCAGGAAUUGAUAAUUUCACUUAUGAGGCUGGGUUUCAUUGAGCUUGAGCUUGAGUCUGAAUUUGGUUUUGGAAUAUGGAUUUAAACUGAUUUGAGAAGAGAAUUAAAUUUCUGAAGUCGGAAGAGAUAUGCCUAAGGAACAGAAGAUAAAACCUUGAACCGUUUGGCAUCCUUAAUUCUUUGAGCUAGAGACUGAAUUUGACGUUGCAGAUUGGAUUGGAACUACUCUCAUAGUCCCUCAUUCUUAUGCAGGAUCAAAGCCAAAUCUGCUUAAACUUAAUUCAAGAAUUUAUAUCUGCUUUGCUGAAAAAGUUUGCAACCCUAUUGGAAUUCUAUAUUUCAGGAAGUAGCAGUGUGAACUGAAGAGGAUGAAUACUGAUCAUUUUGAUCAGUAUGUUGAAGAAAAUAUCUGAGUAACAUGUACAAGGAUCAGCUGGAUUACUGCAGAAUGUAGUUUAAUUUUGUAUCCAUUGAAUGCUUGGUAUUCCUGCAACUUCCUUAAACUAAAUGUCUGAAAUUGGACUUCCUGAAAUCAGAAAAUUAGAAGUCAGAAAUCAGUAUUAAUCUGAAUUAAACCUUUGAAUCCGGGCAUCAGUUUAUAAAGUUUGUCUGGUUACUGAAUUUGCAGCUAGUGGGAGUUAAAAUUCGAGCUGAAUUUUUUUGCCAUUGUAAGAAAAUGUGGUUAAGUUUUGCUGUAGAUCAAAUGCAAAAGAGGAAAAAACUUUAUAAAGGCUGGAAGGCAAGCAGAAUCCAGAAUUACAGUUGUGACAGAAAUAAAAUGGAAACUGAAUGCUCUACAUAAAUGAAAUGUAGAAGCUGGAAUCUCUACAAAACAAGAAUGAAGUUUUUAAUUUUGUAGGUGUUGUGCCAAUCUGCAAUUUGAUCUUUUUGAGCUGAAACAAAUUGAACUCAAGCUCUUAUUUAUUGAGUGCUAAAUGAGAUGAUGUCUUACAGAAAUUAAAUGUUACAGCUUGAUCAAAAAUUAGUAAGAACAGAUUUCAGAAACAGAAAUUUCAGAUUCUGUUUGGUUUUCAAACCUGAGAUGGAAUCUUAGUGAUCAGUAAUCCUUUAACUACAGAAAUUCUACAAUAAUGAGAAGCAUAUAAGGGCCUUAUUCUCUAAAUUUUGGGAGAAUACCAAGUUGGGACAAAGGAUCACUAACACACAGUGCUAAAAAAGAAGAAGUGUAGCUGCUAUAGGAAUCAAUUGGAGCCAAGUGUUCAUACAGCAGAACUGAAUUCUAAUUUUUAUCAUCUCAAUGCUAAAUGAAACUCUCUUCUAAAGUUGAAUCCUCGAUGAGUUAAACUAGAUUGCUCUUAAGUUAAAAUUCUGAAACUGAAGAUUGAAGUGGCAAGGUUUAAGAAUCAGUUUAAUGUCUGAAAUUUUCAGUAUUGUUUAUAAACCUGUUUCCUGGAGUUCUAAAUUACAGAAACUUCAUAAGCAGAGUAUGGAAUUGAUUUCCAAAUGGCUGAAACUAUUUUAUUGAUUUUAAAACUUUGAGAUCGAAAGUCCUAAAUCUGAAACCUGCUGCUGUUGUAAGUUGAUUUUCUGGAUUCUGAAUCAGUGUAUUAAAAUUCUUACCAGCAGUUUUUGAAAUUAGUGAGACAGUCGAGUGAAGCCCUGGAAUUUUCAGAAACGGAAGCAAAAACAGUGAGAAAUGCAGCUGUUGGUUAUCUGAUCAUUAUGGAUUAAGAUUCAAAAUUUAGUUGAUGAGUACCAUUCCACUCAUGAAGUAGUUCAGAAGGUAAUAUGAAUUCUGAGAAUUUGAAGUUGGAAGCUGUAAUUGGGAGUUAGGUUCAGAAAUACAGUAGGCAGCACAGGAAUUCAGUUUUAGGUGUUGUAUCAAAUGUGUAUCAAUUUUUAUCACCAUCUUUCAAAAUAGUGAGGUAGAACAAUUAAACUCUUGCAUUAUCUGUGACAAAUGGUUUUCAUCUCUUUCUAUGACUCCUCAAAAUGGAUGGAAUUAAUAGAGGAUUUCUGAAACUCUCAAGCUGCUGAAAUGCAGAAACAGUGAUGUGUUAGAGCUACUGGUAACUUGAUCGAGAAUAAAAAUUUGAACUAUAAUUGGGGAGUACCUUUCUAUUCAUGAAGCACUUCAAGAUGAUAUCAUAAACUUAAGUGCAGCUGCAAAUGAGAAUGGAUCAAGGUAUCAGCAGCAACAAGCUUGUUCUGUGAUGAUCAGGAAUAAUAUCAAAUCUGCAGAUUUGAAACUGUUGUAUUAACUUGGAGUGAUAUUAUUGAGUUUUAUUGCUCGAGAUGAUCAAGGUUUAAGUGUGGGGGGAGGAUGGAAUAUGCUUUGAGUUUAGGUUGUUUUUAUGGGAUUGAUUUCAUUGUUUGACAUUUGGUAAGCUGGUGAAUUCUGAAUUAAUUGUAUUGUGUCAUUGGAACUUUUGGUACUGGAUGGAAAUUCAGCAAGUCUGAUGAAUGCUCAAGAAGGUAGUGGUAGCAAGUUUGAUGAAUGCUUAAGAAUGCAUGAGUUGAGUUUUCAAGUUACAAGCUGAAUUUGUUCAGGAAAUUUUUCACUUUGAAGUUGGAUCCGAAUUUUGGAAGAAUAUUGAAGGCUAUUCAGUUUGGAUAACUGCAUUAAUUUGAUGCUCAACGAGAUAAUACAGAGAAAGUUAAGAUCAAGGCUUAGAUCAGAGAAAAAGGUGGAACAGAAUUGAAAUCUUUUCACUUGACAGAUUUUGUGCCAAGUUGUUAAAUUAUGUUUUGGAUCUAAUAUGAACUGAAUUUAAGCUGCUAAUUACUGGGUACUAACUGAGAAAGGUCAUAGAGCUUAAAUUUCAAAGAUUGAACUGAAAUUUUUGGGGAAUAGCAAAAAAUUGGGGAUGAAGUUUGAAACUUAGAUGAAGAAGUGCAUGAGGCUGAAAUCUGUUUAAUAUGUAGGAGUUGUAGUAACUUGAUCAAAUUGUUUCUAAUCUGAAAUAAAUUGAGAACAAGUUUCAGCCAAUGGAGUGCAAAACGAAACUUCUACACAUACCCAACUUUUCAAGAUUCAAACCAAGACACUUUGUCAUUCAAAAUUCAAAAACAACAAAUGCAAAAUCAGCUCACUUCUUUGAAAUUAUGGAAUUUAUUAUACUGUUAUGAAUUGAAAAGAAGCUGAAUUUGGGAAAUAAUUGUUGAGCAUUGGAGAGUAAGUCAGAAAGAAGGGAAGAUAGUUGAGCAUGGUCAAGAAGUUCAUCUAUAUAACAUUCUUUAGUGUCCAUGUCUUCCACUAUACCUUUGAAUUGUAUUGUCCUUAUUUCUUUUCUUGCACACAAACUCUCAUUUGAUUUGAUUCAUGCUUUCUUUGCCAUCAUUAUAAACCUUCAUAAUUGUGUAUUCUAAUGUUUUGGAUAAUGGUGAAGAGUAGAAGAUAAACAAGCCUAUGGUAGUGCAUGAAAUAUAAGUAGCUUGAGUGAUCUCCACUAUUCGUUACAUUUGUGAUUAGGAUGAGAACCACAAAACUUACCUUGUGAGAUUUAGCUGUGAAAUCAUUCUCAGUGCAAUCAGUUUGGAUUGAAGCCAUUAUGUAGUUAACCAAGGUAAGAAUUGAGUCCAUGAAGGCUUGAAUUGUUGAAACUUGACAAUUCUAGGUAACUUGUUUUAAUUACUUUCUAAACAUGAUUGAGAUUUGUUAGGGGUACCUUCUUUAGUUGUUUUCUUAGUUUUAUUUACUUGCACGGGGUGUUCAAGAUUAAAUGUGGAGGAUUUGAUAAUCAUGAUUUUACUAUAUUAUUUUGAUUCAUACAUGCAUGGUUUGAUGUUAUAUUCAUAGAUAAAAUCUAUAUUUGCAUCACAUUUCAUGCAUUGUCUUUAUUCUUGGAUUUAAUUGUAAAUUAUCUUAUUUUUGUGUUAUUUGAUGUUAAUAUUUGAUUCUUAUUUUGUAGGCAUCAAGGGAUCUUGGAUUUGGAUCUAUUCGAACCGAAUUUGUGUUCAAAUUGGAGUUUAAAUGAAAAGAUCAAGCUGCGGAGUAUUAUGGAUCGUUCAUCAAAGCUUGGACAGAUCUAAACCAUCCAUUGAAGAUCUGGUCCAUCCGACCUAAGGGAGAGUAGAUCCAGACCCUUGAUCAAGAUCAAUACAUUCAGAUCGGAUUUAAGACAAUCUUUCACCGUUGAUUGAGCUCCGAAGCAUCACAGCCGUCCAUUCAAAUCUCAGAUCUGAUUUAAAUCGAGAAGCUACAGUAGCUUCCUCGUCAAUCUCCUCCACACUGUGCUUCGCGUCCCGCAGUGCAUCUCGGCGAUUUCCGACCCCGAUUUCCAUCUCCGAUCAUCUUCUCAGGCGACGUCUUCAGUGGAGAGCCUCAAGACAACUGAAUCCCGAUCAUCUGGAGCCAUCGGCGGGCGUUCCCUCCGGCGUAAUUAUGCUUUCGACGAUCCUCUGUUCUCCUCAGAUUUGGCGGCGUUCUUCCAAUCUGUGGUUUCCCUUUCCAUCAGCAACACUCGGCGGCGUUCCUUUGAUGUUCCUGAGCUUCAUCCGACGAUCAUUUAUCAUCCGUAGCUUCCAUUUCAGAUUCAGAGGUGAAGGUUUGCAGAUUUCUAGAUUUUCAGCCAUAUCAUAUGUUUUGAGUUGUUUCUAGCUUGCCGAAGGCGUUCCGCCGGUGUUGCUGAGCAAUCCUGGAACUGAGAUGCAGCUGAGAUUCUCACUGAUGACCAGAGUUGGGCGUUCUCGUCUCCGGCCUCUUGUGUGACGGGAGCAUGUAAAGGAUUUAUGGAGUCUCUUGGAGAUCCUGUCCGCCAAUCUCAUAUCACCUCGAACGACUUCUUCAUUAUUGGUUUUGUACUCGUACUCGUAAUAUGAAUCUUCUGUGUAGAUUUUUGGACUUGUGGCGUCCUUUUAUUUGGUUAUGUACUUAUCGUGUCAAGCCGGGUCGACUCAUAGUCAGUUGUGUUAUUUUUAUGUUUUGCUUAUGUCUUGUCCAGUUGUGUGGGUUAUAUAUUUUUUUGCAUGGUUGUGUUUUGAUUCCAACCGUGUGGCUGUAGAUAUUAUUCUUGUAUAGUCAAGUGACUUAUGUA